GUCUUAUUUGAUUAUAAUUUUAGGUUUAUUCUGCCCAUUGAUUUUAAUUAAAAGGCUGCAGUAUAUUGACUGUACAAAGGUAGCAAAAUAAAUAGUUUUUUAAUUGGAAACUGGAAUGAAAGAGUGAAUGAAAUAUAAAUUGUCUCAAGAUAAAAAAGUUGAAUUUAAAUUAAAAGUAAAAAUGCUUUUUUGGAGUUAUUAGACGAGAAGACCCUAUAGAAUUUUAUAAAAAUUAUUUUAAAAAUUUUAUUAUAUUAAUUUUUUUAUAGAGUAAUUAUAUUUUAUUGGGAGGAUAUUUAAAUUUAUUUAACUUUAAUAAAAAAUAACAUUGAUUUAUGAAUAUUUAUUAUUGAUUAUUAUUAUAAUUAUUAGAAUAAAUUACCUUAGGGAUAACAGCGUUAUAGUUUUGGAGAGUUCAUAUCGAUAAAAUUGUUUGCGACCUCGAUGUUGAAUUAUGAUAAAAAUUAAAUGUAGAAAUUUAAAAUUUUAGUCUGUUCGACUAUUAAAAUCAUACA
Molecule: ribosomal RNA, 515 nt
Filed under: Vespula koreensis
Lineage: Eukaryota; Metazoa; Arthropoda; Insecta; Hymenoptera; Vespidae
Description: partial large subunit ribosomal RNA
Rfam family: Bacterial large subunit ribosomal RNA (bases 389-515)
Source: RNAcentral